Long non-coding RNA from Pongo pygmaeus (Bornean orangutan), 4947 nucleotides. RefSeq lists it as uncharacterized. The record is from RefSeq and is a predicted model, not a curated record. The transcript has 3 exons. Lineage: Eukaryota; Metazoa; Chordata; Mammalia; Primates; Hominidae.
GCGCCCCUCCCCCAGCCUCGCUGCGGACUUGCUGUUUGAUCUCAGACUGCUGUGCUAGCAAUCAGCGAGACUCUGUGGCCGUAGGACCCUCUGAGCCAGGUGCGGGCUAUACUCUCCUGGGGCACGGUUUCCUAAGCCCGUCGGAAAAACACAGUAUUCGGGUGGGAGUGGCCCGAUUUUCCAGGUGCCGUCUGUCACCCCUGGAAAGGGAACUCCCUGACCCGUUGUGCUUCCCGAGUGAGGCAAUGCCUCGCCCCUGCUUUGGCUGGCGCACGGUGCACUCACCCACUGACCUGCGCCCACUGUCUGGCACUCCCUAGUGAGAUGAACACGGUACCUGAGAUGGAAAUGCAGAAAUCACCCGUCUUCUGCGUCGCUCGCGCUGGGAGCUGUAGACCGGAGCUGUUCCUAUUCGGCCAUCUUGGCUCCUCCCUGAAUUACACAGAAAAAACAUGACAGGAAGAAGAAGAAAAGACCAUGUGAAGAUGAAAGCAGAAGGAGUUUUUCAGCCCCAAGCCAAGGAAUACCUAGAGUUCUCGGAAGCUAGAAAAGAAAGCCAUGGAACUCUAAAAUUAAACCAGCUUCCUGACAACUCUGCCAAAUAAGGAAAAUUACAAUUGUUCUAUACACUAAGAUAACUCUAAAUAAUGACAAAAGAAAAUUCUGGCAGCCAGAUGCUUUAGGCACAUCACAAACAUCUUUGAAGAUCCAUCAGAAGCAAUCCUCUGGGAAUACUAAUUAUAUAAUUUCUUAGCCUUAGGCUUUAAACAUUUUAGACCUUUCAAUAAUUUCAGAAGUAGAAACAAGAAAUUUCUAUGACUACUGAAGACUGAAAUUAAGGAAAUGAUGCCCCUAUCUUAUUAUUAUGAAAUAGAGAAGGCCAAUCAUGAUGGUUCACACCUGUAACCCCAGCACCUUGGAAAGCUGAGGCAGGAGGAUCAUUUGUAGGUCAGGAGUUCAAGACCAGCCUGAGCAACAUAGUGAGACUCCCAUCUCUACAAAUAAAAAAAAAAAAAAAAAAAAAAAAAAUUAGCAGGGCAUGGUGGCACACACCUGUAGUCCUAGCUACCCAGAAAGGUCACAUGGGAGAAUGCUUGAGCGCAGAAGUUUGAGGCUACAGUGAGUUAUGAUUGCACCACUGCACUCCAGCUUGGGAGAGGAGAAAUCCAAAGAAUUUAGUCUGGGCUAUAGCCAAAGAAAAUCCCAGAAUCAAAACUAAGACAAUGAUCUUUAAUAAGUCCACAUAGUCUAGGAGAGGGGUCAGGAUUUUUUUUUUCUUUUUUCUUUCUUUCUUUUUUUUUUUUUUGAUAAGAGCCAAAUAGUAAAUACUUUAGCCAUAGAGAGAUAUACACAGCCUCUAUCAAAUCUACUCCGUUCUGCUGUUGUGGCUUGUGAGCAGCCAGAGACAAUACUCAAAUAAAUGAAUGUGAUUGUACUCCAAUAAAACUUUAUUUACAAACACUAAAAUUUUAAUUUGAUAUAAAUAUUAUGUCUUGAAGUGUUUCUCAUUUUGAUAUUUUUAAAAAUUUGACAAAAUUUGGGAACCUAUCAGCCUAAGCCACAGAAAGAAAAACAGGUUGUAGGCAGAUAUGGCUGAUUCAUGCUACUUCACAAUAAAAUACAUACUCUUAUCUUCAAUUUAGCAUUCUCAGCAUUAUAAAUGCAUUAUUGCUAUGGUUUACAUGUUCAUGUCCUCUCCAAAAUUCAUGUUGAAACUUUAUCCCCAAUGAACAGUAUUAAGAGGUAGGGCCUUUAGGAGGUGAUUAGGUCAUAGGGCUCCACUCUCAUAAUUGGGAUUAGUGUUAUAAAUGGAUAGAGGGAACUAGCCAGGCCCAUUUGCUCUUCUGUGCCUUCCACCAAGUCAGGUCACAGUGUUUGUCUGAUCCUCAGGAUGCAACAAGGCACCAUCUUGGAAGCAGAGACUGGGUCCUCACUGGACACUAACUUGCAGGGAUCUUGAUCUUGGACUCCUACUCUCCAGAACUAAUAGAUUAUUGUUCUUUAAAAAGCCAAUCUCAGGUAUUUUUUUAGACUAAAACAAAUAUACAUUUCUAGUUUUAUCAUCAGCUUGUGCCCAGAGGGAAAGAGUUAAGCUGCUGACACUGUAGCUGGCCUUGUAAGCCAGAGAAUGUAGCUGCAGGUAUAGGGGUAGCAGAGAGGAGCUGCAGAGCCAGAGCAGACAGCCGAGAUAAAGGCAGACAGUAUGAAAGAGGUGCGAUGACAGUGCUGCUGAAUAAAACUACAUUUCACCUGCCUACAGCCCCCCAAAGUGUUCUUUCAGCUAUCUGCCCAUCCACCCACUCCCCUCAGACCUCAGCUAGGGUUGAAUCUGACCCUGAGAGAGACAUUUGGUGUAGUCAUGAACCUGACAAUUGGCGACGUCUGCAGUAUGAAGUGAGUGGAUUUUCAGAACCCAAGGCUUUCGUGUCUGCUAUGUGGCCACAGCAUGAGCUGUGGUACGUGGUGACAGCUGUGCUGUGAGGAUGGGCCCCAAUCAAAACUUGAAAGGCAAUGGAUGUGUCUCUUGCAAGUGUGGAGACAGCGCUGACGUACCUGGAAGUGCACAGCACCGAGAAGGAAGCAUGCCUUUGCUGGCAGAGUCAGAUGGGUGUUUGUGACUAUGCUGGGGGAGGUGCAUGCCCAGUCCCUGCAGAACGCGGCACAGAGAGGAGGAAGAACCUCUCUUGCAGGCUCACCCCCUGGUCCUUCAGAAAAUAGAACAUGAGCAGCUGUUGGGCCCCAAGGGUGGGCCAGAGACCCCCUACUGUGGUGGAACACACUUCCUUUGGUGCCUGUGCCCUUGCUGAGUUGCAGGAGUUAAGCAAGUAAUGUAGGCAGUGUCUGGGGGAGCCCUCUGCCUGAAUACUCCCUCUCUGGAACGAAGGAGCUAACGCAUUUCCUGCCCUGCCUCCAAGAUUGGGAGAAGGACUUUGCUGCGCAGUGCGGUCCCGCCCAGGUGUUCCAGUUCACAGAUUACCUGCUGCAGUCAGAUGGAAGUGUAAAGCCUUUUCUGUUUGAUGAGAGAAAUGGCCCAGGUGCCUGACUUGGUGGGGCACCAGACAACCAAAGGCCGUCUGUGGAUUUGGCAAUCCAUUGGGCCCUGAGCCCAGAUAAGUUUCUGGGCAGAGCUGCAUUUAUUAACUGUUACGAAGACCGGUCAGUAAAAGUAAAAUCUGUAUCUUUGCAUCUUGGCAUCAGCUGCUUUGCUGUUCACUUAUGCACUGUGUCUGUCUCUCCCAUACCUGAAGACAUUCUGGGGGUGGAUGUUUUGCACAGCUUGGCAGCUGUGCUGUCUGUCAUGGACUUAAUGGACCACUUAACAACAGAACUGGAGGGUGCCACUGUUUGGUGGACUUGGCCAAUGCAUCCCUCUCAAUCGACAUUGCUCCAGAGAGCCAGGAACAGUUUGUCUUCAUAGGAGGGUGACAAUGGACUUUCACAGUGUUGCCACAGGGCUAUGUGUUUAGCCCCACCAUAUGUUGUAGCCUUGUUUAUGAUGUUAAAUCUGAUUCUCUGGAAGAUUUGGAAGCGGCAAUGCCCCCUUGCCUGGGAUUGGAUGGUAAGGCUGAGACAGCCUCUCCUGGCAGCCAAGCAUGCUACUCAGCAGGCACAAGCCCUAUGGGUAGUUAAUCAGAGGUGGCCAUUUAAGCUAGAUGUUCAUGCGACCACAAAUAUUUUUCAUUAGGGCCUAUAGCAGGACACAGAGCACCUGAGUAUGCCAAUGGGCUUUUAGUCCCAACGUUGUAUGGAAAGGAGCUGAGCUCUGGUAUUCCUUAGUAGAGAAGCAGUUAGUAAUAGCUGGAUGUGUGAGUUCAUGGAUAACAAAGCCCUGGACUGGGAACACAGUUAGUAACUGCAUAUACUGCUCUUGAGCUCAUAAGAGCAUGGAAGGAUGGGUUAUAGUCAUUGUGCGGAUGAUUUACCCGAUAGUGGGAGGGGUGCAUUCAUGGGUAAUGACCCCUCGGACUGGGAAAGCAGUUAGUAACCGCAUAUGCUGCUCUUUAGACUCAUAAGAGUAGGGCAGGAUGGAUUAUAGUCAUCAUGUGGAUGAUCUACUCAAUAGUGAGAUGGGUGUUUUCACGGGUAAUGACCCCCCAGAAUGGGAUGGCACAGACAUCUACUUUAGUGGAGCAGGGUGCCUACUUGAAGCAGUGGAGUACGCUUAGUACAAGUCCCUUAGCAGCAGAGUUGCAAGAGGUCUUGGGACCUGUAAUCCUAAUGCAAGGUAAGACCAUAGGGCAUAAGGCCUUGGAGCCUGAGGCACCCCUAGACCCUGAGCCUUCACUGUUUAGGGAAGUGUGUCCUUUUUUUACUAAUGGGGACCCACAUAGGUGGGUCUAGCUGAGGUGCUACUGUUGCCUGGGCUGUUGCAGUCCAACCUAGCACUGAUACUAUAUGGUUUGAAACCAGGUGUCGGCAAUGUAGCUAAUGAACUGAACUCAGGGCAAUGUGAAUAGUGAUCACCAAGGAGGUGACACCUGCUUGUGUACCCAGAUGCUUAUGAAUCAGGCCUGUGUGCCCAAAGCUUAUGUGUCAGGCUUAUGUGUCAAGCCUAUGUGUAUGUAUCAGGCCUGCAUGCCCAAAGCUUAUGUGUCAGACCUGUGUGCCCAAGCCUGUGUAUUGGGCCUGUGUGCCUGAAACUUAUGUCUCCCUUGGCAUAGGGGGUGGAAUGUAAGAUACGUGGAUGUACCUGGUCAAGGAAUAGGCCAAGGCGGACAUCCAGGCCAGAGUGACUCAGCAAGUUUAGGGUGCAGGCGCACACCUCCACAUGUUAUGUAACCUGUUUGUGUAAGCUCAUACUUGGCUUGGAGCCACUAUUGUUUGAAAAGGUGUAACUGCCCUGCUGAUGCUGUGCAUGGGCUCAACAUGGCAUGUGUGCUGGUGCCCAGAGAGACAGUAAUGCUAUUGACCCCUAUAAGGGAGAGCUGGUCACCUUGAAGGUGGGCG